This 3185-nucleotide long non-coding RNA is filed under the name Marmota monax (woodchuck). Lineage: Eukaryota; Metazoa; Chordata; Mammalia; Rodentia; Sciuridae. The record is from RNAcentral.
CAGCUGCUCAGGAGGGUGAGGCAGGAAUAGGGUGAAUCAGGAAGAUGGCAAGUUCAAAGCCAGCCUCUGCAAAAAUGAGGAGAUAAGCAACUCAGUGAGACCCUGUCUCUAAAUAAAAUACAAAAUGGGGCUGGGGAUGGAGCCCAGUGGUGGAGCGCCCCUGAGUUGAAUCCCCAGUACCAAAAAACAAAUAAAAUUUAAAGGAGCAGGGCACACUGUCCCAGGCUUGUAAAUCCCAGUGGCUGGGGAGGCUGAGUCAGUCUCAGCAAUUUAGGGAGACUAUGAGACUGUCUCAAAAAUCAAAAAACAAUAAAACUGCGUGUGUGUGGUGUGUGUGUAGCUCAGCACCCUUGGGUUCAAUCUCAGGUACCAAAUAAAUAAAUUAGAAGGGCUGGGGAGUUAGCUCAGUGCCCCGGGGAUCAAUCCCCAGCACCACACACACAGUCACACACACAAACACACACUCAAUUACAAUACUGAAGGAUAUGCCCCCUUUUUACCCCAACCACAGGCUAAUAGGCAUUCACUAAAAUUAGAGUAAUACAUACAGGCAAGCUGAAGGAGACAGACUUACUACAUCUUCAGCGAAGUGCCAAGAGCAAACCAGAAGCUAAGCAGGGGUACAAAACCAAUCUACAGUAACCCCCCACUGCCAUCUGUGCUUUUGCUUUCCCUGGUAAUAGUUACCUGAGAAAUACUGGUCCAGAAAUAUGAAAUAAAAAUACCAGAAUAAGUAUUUAGAAAUAAAUGAAAGUUUGAAACUCUAAGAAUUAUCAAAAAAUGUGACAGACACAAAAUGAACACACAUUUUUGGAAAUCUUUUUGUUUUUGUUUAUUAGUAUGAGGGAUUGAACCCAGGGGGUUUUAAAGACUGAUCCAUAUCCCCAGCCUUUUUAAUUUUGAGACAGGUUUUCUCUAAAUUGGCGAGGGCCUCCCUAAAUUGCUGAGGUUAGAAUUCCAGGUUUGGGAUUACAGGUGCGCUCCAAGGCAUCAGACUGGAAAAAAUGGUUUCCACAGUCUUGUUCCACUCUGUGGGAGACCAACCUUGCACAUGACUGAGUCACACUCCUUGGCUGGGUGAUGAGGGGCUCAGUCACAGAAAUGUGGCAGAGCUUUCCCACCCUUCUUGGAAGGUGUUUCAGUGUCUCCUGUAUGGGUGUGUCUUGCUACAGCCCCAUGAGUGAAGCUAUGCUCACCUGUUCCUUUGUAAUAUAACCUGUUUAGGUUAUAUGGAAGUGCCUUGUGUCCCCUUCUCUUAUAGUGCCCUUAGGUGUGGCCUACCCAGGUGUCAGUCAACCUGCUGACAGUGGACAUCAUGAAGCCCCUGAAACCUGACCCCUUGGCCUGAUUUGAAUAGCUUCUCAAUAAAAGUGGUCAGCAGGUUCUCACUCUUCCUGUGUACACUGACCCUUAGAGCCAUCAUAGCCACCCCCAAAGAAAAAGGUAUUUGUGUCUCUUGUGUGGUUAUUUUGCACAGCCCAAUUAGCCCAGUUUUCCUGGAGUAACCCUUAAACCUUAUAGUCCGGAGAACAGAAACCUGGCACCAUUCAGUAAUGCCACAGAUUUUCAAUUUGUAAAAAAUGCAAUAUCUAUAAAGUACAGUAAUGCAAAGAGAAGACAUUGAGAAAAAAGAACCCUUGUGCACUGUGAGAAACUAAACUAAUAUAGCUAUUACGAAAAACAAUAUACAUGACUCAAAACACUGACCCAGCAAUCUAAAGGGUAUAUAUCCAAAGGAACUGGAAUCAGUAUGCCAAAGAAAAUCUGCAUUCUCACAUUCACUGCAGAGUUAUUCACAAUAACUAAGAUAUAGAUGUGAAGCAAGCCAGACAUAGAAUGACAAACACCACAUAAUCUCAAUUCUAUGUGGAAUCUAAAAAAGGUAAACUCAUGACCAUAUUGCACAAUAAGAAUAGUGAAACUUGGGGCUGGGUUGUGUUUGUGGUCCUGGGUUUGAUUCUCAGCACCAUGUAAAUAAAAUAAAGAUAUUGUGUACAACUAUAACUAAAAAAUAAAUAUUUUAAAAAAAGAAUAGUGGAACUGGGCUGGGGCUGUAGCUGAGUGGUAGAGUGCUUGAGGCGCUGGGGUUGGUCCUCAGCAUCCUAUAAAAAUCAUAAUAAUGAAAACAGAGGGGAGUGUUCUUGGGAGGGAGUAUUGAAUACUGUUAGGCCUUAAAAAAACAAAAUCCUGUCAUUUGUGAUAAUAGGGAUGGAGCUGUACCUCAAACUAUGUGAAGCAAGCCAGACAUAGAAUGACAAAUACCACAUAAUCUCAAUUCUAUAUGGAAUCUAAAAAAGGUAAACUCACAGAAACAGUAUAAAAUGGUAGUUGUCAGUGGGGUUAAGGUAUAUGGGGGUAGGGGUGUGUGUACACAUCUGUAAUCCCAACAGCUUGGGAGACUGAGGCAGGAGGAUCGUGAAUCCAGAGCCAGCCUCUGCAACUGUGAGGUGCUAAGUAACUUAGUGAGACCCUGUCUCUAAAAAAAAAAAAGUACAUGGAUACCAAAGAAGAGUUGGAUUGACCAUUCUGCACAAUAAGAAUAGUGGAACUAGGGCUGGGGUUGUAGCUGAGUGGUAGAGCGCUUGCCUCACAUGCGUGAGGUGCUGGGGUUUGUUCUCAGCACCACAUAAAAAUAAACAAAUAAAAAUAAACAUAUAUAUAUAUAUAUAUAUGUAAAGAAUAGUGGAAGUAAGGGGAGCUAAUUCCUUUAAAUAGAGUCUGUUGCUUUGCAUUCACUAAUCAUCAUUUUCAUUUGUUCUUUUAAGCAAUGUGUUCUUGGCACCACUGUGUAGAAAGUGAACUGGCAUUUUAGAUAUAAUCUAAAAAAAUGCUUUGAACUGGAUUUAAUUUUCCAUAAAGACAAUGUUCACAAUAUUCUUGAAGAAAUGGUGUUGGAGACUGACAUAUCAGACAAAAUAGUGAAAAAAUAUUAACUUCGAUUUUUUUCCUGUGUACAGGUCAUAUUUUUAGAUAAGUGUGGUUAGUACUGGGGAUUUGAACUGAGGGCCUUGCAUAUUCUAGAGAAGUGCUAUACCAUUCAGUUUCCAAAUGGGCCAUACUUUCUUAUGCCUUUAUGUGCCUUGCAAUUGUGUAUGUGUAUGAAAACUGUUCAUAUAAACUACAUAAUGUUUUAUCAUUAUAAUGCAAUUAUUCUGGAAAUAAAAAUAAAAUUCUCCCUCUCUCCA